GGCACCCUGCCUUCUCACCCUUUUGGUUCAGGAGACAAACGUGUGCAAUCCUCAUUUCUAAAGUCAGCUCAGCCUGGAAGGAUUCCUGGUCUCUCCCACCUUCUACCAUUCUGCUGCCAGGGACAGCAAGGAUUGGUGCAGUUUCUGCGCAGUGCUUUGUGCCUGGAAUACGGAGAAGGAAGAAAAAGAAGACAAGCACCCUGGUCCUUUUUUCCAAGAAAUAACAGGAGCCCCGAAGAAAAAAAAAAAAUCUUGAGUUUGUCCUACUCCAUGCAACAGUGCUGAAAAAUAUGAGACGCUCCUGCUCAAAAACAAAAACAAAAACAAACAAACAAAAAUCCAAACCAAAACAAACCAAAAAAAAAGCAAACAUUGGCUUGUAUACCUACAGAGACAUCGGGCUUUGUAAAGCAGCUUUGUAAGGCAACAUAACCAAAUGAGCCUUCCUUAUUUUUAUUAUUUCAAAAAUAUGGCAUAAUUAGCAAUAUAUUGCACUUGGUGAAAUCGCACCUUUCAUAUCAGGGAAAAACUUAAAAUGGAUAUGAGAAGUGAAGAAAGUGAUCAUAGGAGAAAAUCAUCUCAGAUUCACUUACUGAAAAUCUCUCUUGAAAAUUUUUGAUCGUCCUGGAGUGGUCUAUAUAAAGAUGAUCCCUGUAAGAGUCAGGAACUCUCUGGUUCUACAAUGCAGUCACUUAACUUGCACUGGAGUUGUAAUGAUGCAUACUCUCCGAGAGGCAGGCCCAGAGAGAAGUGAAGCUGAAACAGUAACAUUUUUUCCUGGUCAAGCUCCCGGACAUCUACCCUUGACAUCAAACCCAGUAGUCCUUUCGUUUGUCUAACAACUGAUUGUUUCAACUCUGACUUCAUAAUAAUGCCUAUUUUGUGUUGCUCAUGGCUCUCUGCGUCCAACUUUCAUGCUUGUUAACCUUGUUUCUACUCUAUAAUAACCUAAGGGGAAGCAGGGAAGUUAUGAGGGUCCAUUAUUGUAUAGAUGAGGAAACUAAGUUUUGGUCUGAAUUAAGAUUUCCUUUCUCCCAUCUUAGAGUUUACAUUGCAUCAUUUUGCUUCUCACUGCUGGGGUGGGUCCGCCUUAGGACCAUAUUCUAUACUUAUUCCACAUGAGUAGGAAAACCUAAUAUUCUUCCGUUUAAGUUCUAGCAAAGUUCCAAGAACAACCACAGGCUAUACACCCAUUGAGUCCUCACGCUCAAGGCCCCUUCAAUUCCUGAAAAUAAACAGCUGGCUGCUUCAGAUUGUGGUUUAGGAAUGCAAGGCAGCAUUUGGUAAUUAGCACUUGAACUGAGCAAUAACCUUCAAUGAGUCUUUCAUUUCCCUGCUAAGGGAGAGGGGCCUCAACAAACAGAGACAGAGUGUGCGCCAGCAUCAGUUUGUCAGAGUUGGAGACAUUCGUGAGAUGUAUGGCCUUAACCAGGUUCUUUAACUUCUCUGCGCCUCUCAGACGCUUCCUGUAGAAAAGAGAGGCCACCGCAAGUUUGCGGGAAAGGGCGAACGAAGUAACAGAGAUAGCAGAAUAGGGCUUGGCUCAUAGUGAGUGCUCAGUAAAUAGUAUUCCUAGUCAUUAUUAUUAUUCAUGACUUUGUGAAACUUAAAAGCAACAUUCAUCCAAUCUGAGUUGAUCAUUGAAAGUAUGAUCGUAUUUUUCUUUAUGUAAAUAAAUUGCUUUUAAAACAAGA
Non-coding RNA from Leptonychotes weddellii (Weddell seal), 1694 nucleotides. NCBI's taxonomy places the organism in Eukaryota, Metazoa, Chordata, Mammalia, Carnivora, Phocidae. The record is from RefSeq and is a predicted model, not a curated record.